CAGUCGCCGCGGUAACACAGAGGGUGCAAGCGUUAAUCGGAAUUACUGGGCGUAAAGCGCGCGUAGGUGGUUCGCCAAGUUGGAUGUGAAAUCCCCGGGCUCAACCUGGGAACUGCAUCCAAAACUGGCGAGCUAGAGUAUGGUAGAGGGUGGUGGAAUUUCCUGUGUAGCGGUGAAAUGCGUAGAUAUAGGAAGGAACAUCAGUGGCGAAGGCGACCACCUGGACUGAUACUGACACUGAGGUGCGAAAGCGUGGGGAGCAAACAGGAUUAGAGACCCCCGUAGUCCCUGUCUCUUAUAC
This 301-nucleotide ribosomal RNA is filed under the name uncultured bacterium. Its description in RNAcentral is "partial 16S ribosomal RNA". It matches the Rfam family "Bacterial small subunit ribosomal RNA", at positions 509 to 807 of the family's 1533-position model. The record is from RNAcentral.